AGAGUUUGAUCCUGGCUCAGGACGAACGCUUGCGGCGUGCCUAAGAAAUGCAAGUCGAGCGGGGUUUCACUCUGACCAAAGCUUCGGCAGAGGUCUUGUGAAAUCUAGCGGCGAACGGUCGCGUAACACGUAAGCAACCUGCCCCAAAGAUUGGGAUAACAACCCGAAAGGGUUGCUAAUACCGGAUGUGCAUGUUGGAUCGCAUGUUCUAACAUGUAAAGGAGCAAUCCGCUUUGGGAUGGGCUUGCGGCCUAUCAGCUAGUUGGUGAGGUAACGGCCCACCAAGGCGACGACGGGUAGCUGGCCUGAGAGGGUGGCCAGCCGGAUUGGGACUGAGAUACGGCCCAGACUCCUACGGGAGGCAGCAAUUAGGAAUCUUGCGCAAUGGGGGAAACCCUGACGCAGCGACGCCGCGUGAGUGAUGAAGUCUUUCGGGAUGUAAAGCUCUGUCCUACAGGGAAGAAACAAAUGACGGUACCUGUAGAGAAAGCCCCGGCUAACUACGUGCCAGCAGCCGCGGUAAUUC
This 526-nucleotide ribosomal RNA is filed under the name uncultured bacterium. RNAcentral's name for it is "bacterial SSU rRNA". It matches the Rfam family "Bacterial small subunit ribosomal RNA", at positions 8 to 526 of the family's 1533-position model. The record is from RNAcentral.